GGGGACGCGUGGGUUCGACAGGGGGAGUAUGCUGCAGGAUUGCAAGCUGAGGUGCCGCUACCCUCAUAAAACAAGUGGCAAAAAAUAAUUGGCGAACCAGAAUUCGCAUUUGCUGCCUAACUAAAUAGGUUGCACAUCCAACCCAACCUCGCCUCAAUGGGUUGGGAUUGGGUGCCGAAAAGUUGAGGUGCCACCAUUCUAAUGUCGAUAAGGGUGGUGAAAGAAUUAUCGGCUGGCUUAGCUAAACUCGGUCAGCAGAGGCUAGCUAGGUAAGAAAAAGAGCUGACUAAGCUUGUAGGAUAUUCUGGGUAGCUUCCUUUGGACGGGGAGUUCGACUCUCCCCCGUCUCCACCA
This 354-nucleotide transfer-messenger RNA is filed under the name subsurface metagenome. RNAcentral describes it as "transfer-messenger RNA, SsrA". It matches the Rfam family "transfer-messenger RNA". From Rfam's summary of the family: Bacterial tmRNA, also known as 10Sa RNA or SsrA, is named for its dual tRNA and mRNA-like properties. Its role is to liberate the mRNA from a stalled ribosome. The record is from RNAcentral.